Molecule: transfer RNA, 59 nt
Filed under: Karaftohelix adamsi
Lineage: Eukaryota; Metazoa; Mollusca; Gastropoda; Stylommatophora; Camaenidae
Description: tRNA-Ser
Source: RNAcentral
AAAUAAAUUUUAAACUAAAUAUAGAUACUAAAACUUUUAAUAAGCCAAAGGUUUGUUGA